RNAcentral lists this transfer RNA (77 nucleotides) under Solibacillus isronensis. RNAcentral's name for it is "tRNA-Met". It matches the Rfam family "tRNA". From Rfam's summary of the family: Transfer RNA (tRNA) molecules are approximately 80 nucleotides in length. Their secondary structure includes four short double-helical elements and three loops (D, anti-codon, and T loops). Further hydrogen bonds mediate the characteristic L-shaped molecular structure. tRNAs have two regions of fundamental functional importance: the anti-codon, which is responsible for specific mRNA codon recognition, and the 3' end, to which the tRNAs corresponding amino acid is attached (by aminoacyl-tRNA synthetases). tRNAs cope with the degeneracy of the genetic code in two manners: having more than one tRNA (with a specific anti-codon) for a particular amino acid; and 'wobble' base-pairing, i.e. permitting non-standard base-pairing at the 3rd anti-codon position. RNAcentral also lists the same sequence under 14 other names. The record is from RNAcentral. Lineage: Bacteria; Bacillati; Bacillota; Bacilli; Caryophanales; Caryophanaceae.
GGCGGCAUAGCUCAGCUGGCUAGAGCAUGCGGUUCAUACCCGCAGUGUCCCCGGUUCAAAUCCAGGUGCCGCUACCA